RNAcentral lists this ribosomal RNA (492 nucleotides) under uncultured bacterium. RNAcentral's name for it is "partial 16S ribosomal RNA". It matches the Rfam family "Bacterial small subunit ribosomal RNA", at positions 29 to 507 of the family's 1533-position model. The record is from RNAcentral.
AGUGAACGCUGGCGGCAGGCCUAACACAUGCAAGUCGAACGGCAGCACAGUAAGAGCUUGCUCUUACGGGUGGCGAGUGGCGGACGGGUGAGGAAUACAUCGGAAUCUACUUUUUCGUGGGGGAUAACGUAGGGAAACUUACGCUAAUACCGCAUACGACCUACGGGUGAAAGCAGGGGAUCUUCGGACCUUGCGCGAUUGAAUGAGCCGAUGUCGGAUUAGCUAGUUGGCGGGGUAAGGGCCCACCAAGGCGACGAUCCGUAGCUGGUCUGAGAGGAUGAUCAGCCACACUGGAACUGAGACACGGUCCAGACUCCUACGGGAGGCAGCAGUGGGGAAUAUUGGACAAUGGGCGCAAGCCUGAUCCAGCCAUACCGCGUGGGUGAAGAAGGCCUUCGGGUUGUAAAGCCCUUUUGUUGGGAAAGAAAAGCAGUAGGUUAAUACCCCGCUGUUCUGACGGUACCCAAAGAAUAAGCACCGGCUAACUUCGUG